UAUCUCUGUAGAGUCUGCAUAUCAAUAAGCGGAGGAAAAGAAACUAACUAGGAUUCCCUUAGUAACGGCGAGUGAAGCGGGAAGAGCUCAAAUUUGAAAUCUUCAAGGUUUUACCUGACGAAUUGUAGUUUAAAGAAGUGUUUUCUGUUGGUGUUUUGGUAAAAGUUCUUUGGAAUAGGACAUCAUAGAGGGUGAGAAUCCCGUAUUUGACCAUUACUUCCAGCGUUGUGAUACACUUUCAAAGAGUCGGAUUGUUUGGGAAUGCAGUCCAAAACGGGUGGUAAAUUUCAUCUAAAGCUAAAUAUUGGCGAGAGACCGAUAGCGAACAAGUACCGUGAGGGAAAGAUGAAAAGAACUUUGAAAAGAGAGUUAAACAGUACGUGAAAUUGUCAAAAGGGAAGCGUUUGACACCAGUGUUGUUUUCUCGAAAAUCAAUUAAAAAAAGUUGGAUUUUGUAUUGUUAAGACCUUAUCAGCUUACUGUACUCUUUUCUUGCUUUUUUUAAUGCACUUUUCGUUUAACAAGUCAACAUCAAUUUCUUUUGUUGUAAAAGAGUCAUUGGAAGGUGGCUUUCACUUCGGUGAAAGUGUUUAUAGCCUUUGGCUUCUGCAAUCGGAGAGAUUGAGGUCUGCAGCGUAGAUCCUUCGGGGCUAGAUACGUAGAUGCUAAGUUAUAGUUUUUUAUAGACAACUUGUUGACUAUAAUUAAUCAUGUAGCUUACUCGUUUGCGCUAUUUUACCUACGCUUAGGAUGUUGAAGAUGUAGCACAUCAU
Molecule: ribosomal RNA, 773 nt
Filed under: uncultured Neocallimastigales
Lineage: Eukaryota; Fungi; Neocallimastigomycota; Neocallimastigomycetes; Neocallimastigales
Description: partial large subunit ribosomal RNA
Rfam family: Eukaryotic large subunit ribosomal RNA
Source: RNAcentral